Non-coding RNA from Nicotiana attenuata, 104 nucleotides. The record is from Rfam. NCBI's taxonomy places the organism in Eukaryota, Viridiplantae, Streptophyta, Magnoliopsida, Solanales, Solanaceae.
GAUAACUUCUCCAUCGACACGCGAUAAAAUUGGAAGGAUACAGAGAAAAGCAUGUCACAUGCGCAAGGAUGACACACAUAAAUCGAGAAAUGGUCCAAAAAAAG